CCUAAAUGUUUCAACAAACUUUUUAAUUUCCUUUUUAGUACCAGUCGAACGUAAUGUGCCAGAAGACCGAAAGUCAGAGAGAAAGAAGCGGAAGUCAGAGAGAAGAAGCGGAAGUCAAACAAACUGGCAUGAAGCAAGUUACGAAGUAAUAUUCCGACGCCACAAAAAGAUCAAACUGAGCCUGGAGUCCGAAACUUGCAGUCAAAAAAUCAAAAAUUGAAGUCAACACGUUUGUGGUAAGCCAUAUGGAACGCGCAUUAAAAUGUUCUUUAAUAAUUAUUCCAUUAAUUGUUCAAAUAGCUGUUCUAAUAAAUGUUCCAAUAGCUGUCCUAAUAAUUGUUCAAAUAAUUGUUCUAAUAAUUAUUCUAAUAAAUAUUCUAAAAA
Xenia sp. Carnegie-2017 is the source of this 384-nucleotide long non-coding RNA. RefSeq lists it as uncharacterized. The transcript is spliced from 2 exons. NCBI's taxonomy places the organism in Eukaryota, Metazoa, Cnidaria, Anthozoa, Malacalcyonacea, Xeniidae. The record is from RefSeq and is a predicted model, not a curated record.